This 336-nucleotide RNase P RNA is filed under the name Gammaproteobacteria bacterium. RNAcentral describes it as "RNase P RNA component class A". It matches the Rfam family "Bacterial RNase P class A". Rfam says of the family: Ribonuclease P (RNase P) is a ubiquitous endoribonuclease, found in archaea, bacteria and eukarya as well as chloroplasts and mitochondria. Its best characterised activity is the generation of mature 5'-ends of tRNAs by cleaving the 5'-leader elements of precursor-tRNAs. Cellular RNase Ps are ribonucleoproteins. The record is from RNAcentral. Lineage: Bacteria; Pseudomonadati; Pseudomonadota; Gammaproteobacteria.
UGAGUUGAUCGGAUGGUCGCUAGUUUUUAGCUAGAGGAAAGUCCGGACUUCAUAGAGCAAGGUGCCAGGUAACUCCUGGGAGGCGUGAGCCUACGGCAAGUGCAGCAGAAAAUAUACCGCCAAGCAAUUGGUAAGGGUGAAAUGGUGAGGUAAGAGCUUACCGCGAGAUUGGUAACAAUCUUGGCAAUGUAAACCCCACUUUGAAGCAAAACCAAAUAGGGACCCCAUUAGGCUGCUCGUCUAGGGUUCGGGUAGGUUGCUUGAGCAAUAUGGCGACAUAUUGCCUAGAUAGAUGACCAUUUAAUACAGAAUCCGGCUUAUAGAUCAACUCACUUA